Molecule: long non-coding RNA, 1519 nt
Organism: Mesocricetus auratus (golden hamster)
Lineage: Eukaryota; Metazoa; Chordata; Mammalia; Rodentia; Cricetidae
Exons: 5
Source: RefSeq, a predicted model, not a curated record
UGACAAGAAGAUGCUUGCUUGCAAGAAGCAAAGCAACAGCUUCGACACAGUGAUUUCUUCCAAGGAUGAAGAAGUUGGAUAAGAAAGUGAGCGUGAGAACCUGAAGGAGGCUUUUGUUCUUGCUGUCUCUCGAGUCUUGGCGGAGAAUCAAGUAACAGAUUUCAAGGAACUGGAAGCAUGAUCCACUUACUCUGGAAGAAGAAAGACAUUGAGGCAGGGAAUGAAUACUUCUUAAAAAUUGUUUCCCUUAAAAAAAUAAUAAUACUGUGGCCACACAUUGUGAUUGGAAUGGAGGAAAGGGUGUUCAGACUGGAAGAAUCUCCAGGAAGUUCAAUUUGACAAAUUCCCUCAGUGUCCUAGAGGCACAGGAUUGUGCCUAUGAGAGAAAACAGCAUUCUUGGAGAGAUGAGAGCAAGCCCUGGAAGAGGACUCAUCGAAUACAACAAGCAUUCUAUUUUGGAACAAGAUGUUGAUUGUGGAUGACAUUGUAUGAGGGCUGAGAAGACAUGGAAACUCACUGCUUCAGGUGUCGAUUGUGAACGUGUAGCCGGGCUCUGCGUCGCUCAAAGAAAGCUGUAUUCCGAAAGAAGGGCUGGACACGAUGAACUCCAGCGAAUCAACACAGAUGACCGCUAACGGUAAAGGAAAAAGGACAAAGACAGGGAAGGAAAAGUCACGGUGUAAAGGCACAGAUAAUAGCAUUGCUCUUAAAACUAAGCGAAACGUUCGUGAAAUCAGCUACCUUCUGGGAAUGAGAGAAUCUCGGGCUGGCUCCCUCACUUCUCAAGAAGAGAAGCUGAAUCCAGGGACCCUGUAAUAACCCCUCUGACACCAUGCCCAGGCAGGAGUAGAAUUGGAGCUGGAGUUCACAUUCCCUGAGACAGCCCACCCUUCCCUCCGGGUUCCAUCUCGUCUAAUGGUGUCCACAAGAGAAAAUGGGCCAAAGAGGAAGUCACUUCACUCUCCUUCCGAACCCACUGCUGUAAUUCUGAGGACAACGAGGUCCCUCUGAGAGGGAGACAGGACUGGACACCACUGGUUCUAUCCAGUGCUUAACUGUGGAUCUCUGCAUCUGCUUCCCUCUCCUUCUCCAGCACCAUGUCCGCCUGCACACCGCCGUGUCUGCCUGCACACGGCCGCCUGCACACCGCCGGGUCCGCCUGCACACCACCGUGUCCCACCAUGAUGGGCUGAACCUCUGAACUGAAAGCCGCCACCAAAUUAAAUGUUUUCCUUUGUAAGAGUUGCCGUGAUCACGGUGUCCCUUCACAGCAGUAGAAACCCUAACUAAGAGACACCCGGAAAAGUCUGGGAAGAGAAUGAGAGCAAUGAUAGUGUCUCCUUGGGUUAGAAGAAAUUGUUUAUAUCUUUAGAGUAGCAUAACAUUUAAUAAAACAGAUUAAAUAUCAACCAGUUAAUGAGCAAUUGUCAAAAGAUACCGAAACCACAAAGAAUUCAACUGAGUUUAACUGAAACUGUUUAAUCUCCCCAGUGAACAAUAAAUUCUAUUCUGGCCAAA